UGAAGAUUGUAACCGUUUUUCGUGACCUCCUUUUCAAAUUCCAAACAGCCUCUUUCGGAUUGUAACUGACGGUGUUGAUAUAUCCAUUAAAUGGUGGACGAGCGUAACUGAUCUUAGCACUUAAAUAUGCGCUCCGGUUUUGUUACAGAAGCGAACACAUCCACAACCAUUGUUCACGUUCCAUACCCACUGACUUGUUGUUCGAGAAUCUUUGGUGAUUCUAUACUCAGUCUAUGGACGUUUCUUCUCAACACAAGGUACAACUGAGACAGCCCGAGGUACAAGUCAAUGAUGCACGUAUUGGUGAAAAAAGUAAACUUUGAUUUUAUACCUGUACAUGAAUAUGUCACUGUUGUGACCCAAAGGCUUAGAGCAAAGAGUA
This is a long non-coding RNA of Helianthus annuus (common sunflower), 382 nucleotides long. RefSeq lists it as uncharacterized. The record is from RefSeq and is a predicted model, not a curated record. Lineage: Eukaryota; Viridiplantae; Streptophyta; Magnoliopsida; Asterales; Asteraceae. The transcript is spliced from 2 exons.